GAUUCUGUAAAUCAGCAUGAGAAAAAGUAUGGCAUGAGCUAAGGCAAGGCAUAAACCUCUGCACUUGAAAGUGAGGAAAGCUAAGAAGAAAAAUAAUGAAUUACGUACGUGAGAUCUUUGAGGAUUCUCGACUCAAUUAUGAAGAUUGCAGAGCCUUCCCAGUACCAUCUGCCACAGUUCACAUCUUGAGUAUCUCCCAAAGGCCCAUAUGUUAGAAGCUUGUGUCCCCAGCUUGGUGCUAUUGUGAUUUGAUUCUAAUAGAUGAGGUCAGAGUCUUUAAGUCACUGGGGGCUUGCCCCGAAGAGGAUCGUCUCUUCUUGCUCCUGUCUUUUAGGUUGUAAUCAUAAGGUCAGUAGGUUUUGUUCUGUCAUGUGUUUCCACAAUAAAGUGCUGCCUUGCCAAGGCCUGACGUGAUGAGUU
Non-coding RNA from Ictidomys tridecemlineatus (thirteen-lined ground squirrel), 420 nucleotides. The record is from RefSeq and is a predicted model, not a curated record. NCBI's taxonomy places the organism in Eukaryota, Metazoa, Chordata, Mammalia, Rodentia, Sciuridae.